UACGAAGGGGGCUAGCGUUGCUCGGAAUUACUGGGCGUAAAGGGCGCGUAGGCGGUUGGCACAGUCAGAUGUGAAAUUCCUGGGCUUAACCUGGGGGCUGCAUUUGAUACGUGUGAUCUAGAGUGAGGAAGAGGGUUGUGGAAUUCCCAGUGUAGAGGUGAAAUUCGUAGAUAUUGGGAAGAACACCAGUGGCGAAGGCGGUCUGCUGGGCAGUUGCUGACACUGAGGCGCGAAAGCGUGGGGAGCAAACAGG
RNAcentral lists this ribosomal RNA (253 nucleotides) under uncultured bacterium. RNAcentral's name for it is "partial 16S ribosomal RNA". It matches the Rfam family "Bacterial small subunit ribosomal RNA", at positions 524 to 776 of the family's 1533-position model. The record is from RNAcentral.